GUAGGAGUGAGCCUGCUCGCGAUGGCGUCAGGUCAGCCAACUCUUCUGUGACUGACACACCGCAAUCGCGAGCAGGCUCACUCCUAC
Molecule: unclassified non-coding RNA, 87 nt
Filed under: Pseudomonas moraviensis
Lineage: Bacteria; Pseudomonadati; Pseudomonadota; Gammaproteobacteria; Pseudomonadales; Pseudomonadaceae
Source: RNAcentral